This 78-nucleotide small RNA is filed under the name Flavobacterium degerlachei. RNAcentral describes it as "Flavo-1 RNA". It matches the Rfam family "Flavo-1 RNA". The record is from RNAcentral. Lineage: Bacteria; Pseudomonadati; Bacteroidota; Flavobacteriia; Flavobacteriales; Flavobacteriaceae.
GACUAGCCCUGAUAGCAGUGGCAUCCUUUUGUUUUUUUCUUUAAAAAACAAAAGAUAUAACGGAUAGCAGGAAAUAGC